Molecule: long non-coding RNA, 17155 nt
Organism: Centruroides sculpturatus (bark scorpion)
Lineage: Eukaryota; Metazoa; Arthropoda; Arachnida; Scorpiones; Buthidae
Exons: 3
Source: RefSeq, a predicted model, not a curated record
GUGACCUUUGGCUGGCCCCCCUAUGGGGCCAUGGACUGGAGAGCGACAGUUGUUCCUCUAUGUUCCCCUGUUGCCUCCUGUAACUCCGGUGCUGUCUGAUAUGAAGCAGAGACCAGCACAUUGUUCCGAGGUGCCAUGGGCAGCGGAGGCACCCAUCAAUGGUGACAUUAAUUCCUGACUGUUGCUGGCCACAAGGUUGGUCGUCAUCAUCAUCAUCAUCAUCGCAACGGUGAUCAUCGAUAAGAUCUAAAAAUACAAAAAAACAAAAAUUUAGACAAAAAUAUAUAUAUAUAAAUAUAUAUAUCGAUCACGAGAAGCGAUCGGAUCGAGAAGUACACCAACCGCAGGCCUAACCGAGGCAAUGUAUGUCCUGUACAUACGCGUGUAGUUCACAGGCCAGCAUAAUUUGGACCUGUCCAUACAACGAUUCCAAACGCCAUCUGUAUACGUCAUCAGUGUGCAUUUUGUAACCUCGACCACCCUCUUUUUCUCGCUGGUACUCUUCCCCUGCCCCUCGCUUGUCCUUACAAUCCAUCUUCGAGACGGGAAGAUGGCAGCCAAUUUCCUCGAAAAGGACGCCCUAACGCCAAAGGUUUACGGAAAGAAAACUAUAUUAAUCGAUUAAAGAUGAAAAGUCAGAAAGGCAUUACAGAAUAUAUUUUGGGGCAACUGUUGUCACAAACAGAACCUAAGUAAGGCCUAUACCAUGCAGAGGCCAAAAGAAUAGCGAGAAAAAUAUGUAUGCCUAUGUAGAAUUUAAAAAAAAAAUGUUCGGUAUGUAUUUAUUUUUUUUUUCGUUAGUCUGGUUCGUUAGAAAGAGGACUUUGCAAUUUACUUAAACCAUUCUUAUAAUCUAAUCUCUCGUAAAUAUGAAAACCUUCGAACUGUAGAUAAAGAAAAAAACACUUCAGAUUCUAUAUAAAUUUGGCUUCGGAAAAGUUUUUUAAAAUUUAAACCCAUAAAAUAAUAAUAUAACAUAUUAUAUAGCUUAGUUUAACAACUUAACAAUAACUUAUUAGACGAUAAUAUACAUGUAAUAUCAAUCUGAUCUUAGACUAAUAAGCGUAUGAAUCAUGUUAACGUGUAUUAUUACAAAUCAGGUAAACUAGUGAAAUGUAUCCGUAUUAUUCCAAAUAACAAUAAUUCGAAUUAAUUACAGAUAAUGGAGUUGAUGUUUCCCUUGAUCCAGAAUGGCCACGCCAACUAGUGCCCAUGGGCGUUGUAUAUAAACCCUAUACGACUCGUACUCUUCAACACUGGAUAAGUUCGAAUUUAGUAAUAUGUAAAGUUGCGAAUAUUAUUAGACACAUUAAUGCUUAUUUUAUUUCUUUAUUAUACCUUAAACUAAUUCGUGAAUACGCUAGUUAAUUAAAAUAAACAGCAAUUUUGCUUUACUGCUCGCUAUAAUGGAUGAUGAAUUUAAUUUGCAUCAACGUAGGCACGUCUAAAAAAAGUUCACUUUUCGUAUUUCUCGACGUAACUGGUUAGGAAUUUUUUUUUUUAUUAUCUCAUACCUCCCCAGGCUAAGUUGUUAACCAUAUUAUUUUUUGGAUAUCAGAAGGUUUAUCUCACAUAAUAAAUUUAAUAGCGUAGAACCUUAUGUCGAGAUGGGUAACGCGACCUUUAGCAUGCAAAAAAAAAAGUUAAUAUCAUAAAUACUCGAUUUAAUACAUACAUAUUAUAGAUAAAUUUCUGUAUAAUAAAAUCAUUAUUAGGGAUAAUUUUCAUUUUUGUGAUUGAAAAAUUAUUAUUUAGUCUACGUGUAUGUGUAUAUACAGUAUAUAUAUAUAUAUAUAUUUAUAAACUGAAACCAUCUGAUAAGAAUUUCUGUCGAGAUGAUUAUAAUUAAAAUAAUUUAUAGCUGACAUAAAUAAUUAAUCUAGAGUUUUAAUAAUAAAUAAAUAAAUAAAAACCCAGCUGAGAUUAUGUCUUAUAAUUAGAUGAAAUCAUAUAUUUUUUUUUAUUUUUUAAUAACGAACGUGGAUUGAUUAUUCCAUUUAGUUAACGUUUAUAAAUGGGGUGAACCUCCCCACUUUUAGGGUAGACCAAGUACGUAAUCAUUAGUGUUUUUACGGCUGUUAAAAAGUCGACGAAAGAACGUCUUAGGUGUCGUAACUCUGUUAGAUGCCAACAAAUAUGAGUCCUGUUUUAUUUCAUGUCUCUUGUUACUUCCUCUCCUUACCCGGGUUAGCGGUCUUUACAUUAUCCUAAUGAAGUUUUUCUUUGCUUUAAAAUGGCCAUCUGCACACGAAAAGACAUACACACAGUUAAUAAGCAGCGCAUACACAUUGCAGGUUUAUACUUUAGCGAUUCAGAACUUGUGAUACGGUAUAAAACAGGACUUUAGCUUUAUACCACUUCCUCGCUUUGAAUUGGUUAUGACUUAAUCGAGGUCUAAGUGAGGUUGGAAUUUUACAACGUUAGAAAAAUUUAUUACAGUCAUCACAUAAAUUGAAUGCUCUGUACAAAAAUUGAUUGCUUCAACCAUGUUAAAACCGAGUGGAAUUUUUUUUCUUAUUUUUUAUUUGUCUUCUAUUGUGUUUAGAAAAUGACUAGGUGCGACCCAGAUGAGAAUUUCGAGUAUACUUUUAUCUUUAGAAAUUUUUAUAUUGUUCUUAUUAGAAGGGGUUUUUUAAAGAGAAUUGUUAACUCGAUAGAUUUAUGUUGCAUUAUUCGCUCUUUAAAUAUUAAUAUAGAACCUAAGAUAGAUGUUAGAUACCUUUCAGGAGUAUAAUAUAUUAUUAAAUUGAACGAAAGAUAAAAUGCAUAGCUCUUAGACUGUAUUGUAAGCUUUAUCGUAAGACCUGGUGUUAUAGAUUUAAGUGCUUCUUGUAUAUUUUUAAAUAUUCUCGAUAUUUUCAUAAGUUAAAAACUAAAAAUAUAGAAGAUCGCCCCGGGAAGCUACUUUCUGGUUUUCAAAGUUUAACUCCGAGUAACAUUACGGCAUUUAAUGCGUAUCAAUAAAGAUUUCUACUUCUAUUCAUUAGUACUAUUGCACGCAAACUAGCUCUAGCUACACUUUACGAUUCAACUUGAAAUUCAUGAGGAGAGAUAUUCUAUCUCCUUUGAAAUUCCUAUCUUGCAUGUUUGAAAACUGGACCAGUUAUCUGCUAAGCGUCGGCGAUAUCUUGGUUAGGUAAACUGGGCACUGUCCUAUAGAAUCUGGUUUGACUUUACGACGAAUUUCUGUAUUCGCGUGUUUAGUAUAAGUGUUAGGUUGAUUUUCUCAGUAAUCUAUGCAACCAUAAGCGCGCUAAACUGCCCAGAGGUUUCAUUCUUGUCAUGUCUAUAGUCUAGCCCUUGAGGGUUGGGAGAUGUUUGCAAGCUCUCUAUGAAUAAGAGUCUCCCCCCUUUUGAAUUCAUCUCGAACGAGCUUUAGCUUCCACCCCCGCUUUCAUCGAGGCUUAGUUCCCAUUUGGCUUCAUAUACAGACCAUAAACAGCGUACCAAUAAAGCAGCUCCCUAUAAAGGCUAUUCAUAAAAGUCCACCCAUCUACUGACAGCUUUCCCUUUUCAACAAAACCCAGUAAUCUGAAGGGUGCACAUCUCGAUACUGGUGACUUUUACAUAGCAAUGUUGCCUCUGGCGUAGACACUGCCUCCCUACCAUUGAUUCUAGCGAAUAAUACGUCUCGAUACUUGUAGCUAGCUGUUGCGUCAACAUGUACGUAUUCAUAGCGGUAAAUCCACAAGCAAAACACUUCACACCACGCAACCUCAGACUUUCCAUUUAAACACUCCCCAUUUUCGCACUAUCUGUUGUUGAGUCGCUUGUUGAACAUGCACUACAACCUACUGUAAUAUCACUUCUACCAAAUUACUUCUCGAAAUCGCCUGGGACUUUACAAUGCAGUCACGUGUUCGUUUUUAAUAAAACAAACCUCGAUUCACGUUUGGAUGCUCGUUACCCAAUCAGUUCAGCGCAGAAAUUAAAAAGCAAAAAUGAAUUUUUUCUCCCUUUUUUUAAACCUAACCUUUCAAAGUUUGAAGGAGGGAAGAGCCGCCCUCGUCUCAAGCCAAUCGAUACUCUAAUAAAUUAUCCUAAUCGUGAAUCUGCACCCAGUUACAGAACAGUGCAGCAUUUUGCUUUAUAAAAUAUUACCAUUUUUAUAACGGCGAUUUUUUUAAAACAGAAUAAACAUGCUUUUUAUUCUAUCCGGGUUAAAAUUGUGCUUAUUUUCGUGUAUAGAAUGUAACUAAAACACCUGCCUCGUCAAAACUUCAUGAUACUUUCCCGAGGCCAAAUUAUUCUCUUCUUAUUAGAUUGUUUGUAAUGAAAUUUCUUCCUCUUAUCUCGAUCUAACGCAACUUCCUUAUCCGAUUCAUAAUUUUCACUUUGAUCGUUUGUUGCUUAUCACAUGUCUAGGAACUUCAAGAAAAAAAUUAUUUUUUAAUAUAAUAAUAUAUUUAUCACAAUGUAUCCUAUCUAAAUUUUCUAAGACAGGAUUUUGGGUUUUUUCUUUUUAGCAACUAGUCGAGGUCGAAAUUGGACUACUGUAUAUAAUAAUUGUUAGGUUAUUCAUGAACAAUCCCAUUCAAAUCCUUCAGACAGGCGGAAAGGAUAAGGGAAAAAAAUACAAACUAGAUCUUUUGUACGAGGAACUACAUGAAAAUGUAUGGACACUCUCCCAAUCUUUAUUCUUUACUCUUAUUUCUAAACAUCUGCCAAGUUAGACAAAGAAAUCUUAACAUAAGGAAGAGAGAAAAAAUUAAAAAAAAAAGGAAAAGAAAAUUGGAUAUAUAUAAAUAAUAUUCUCUCCUCAUUAUUUCCUUAUCAGAAUUUAUAAAAUAAGUCACUACAAUAAUUUAGUAAGACUUGACAUGUUUAUUUACUCCAUCUUAAACAAACGAUCAAUCCAGACGUGGAACUACUCCGUGCUUACAUUUCACCAUUAAGAUUUCAUCAAAUAGACGAACUGGAUACUAUCCUGUACCCCAUCCUUCAUCACUGUUACAUAUACACUAAGCUAAAAUGUCAAAGGGUUGCAAGAACUAACAUACCAACACGCACCAAAGUGGGUUCGUGCACGUAUAUCACAGGUCCCCGCCACUAAAAGGAAUGGUACAAACAACAACGGACCGUGAAAUAUGGUACGUUUAAAUGUCAAAAGGAUCUCACUAUCAAUCAGCCAUUUGUUCUCCUAAUGGUUUCUACAUUCAGGAAUGCGCUAAUAUAAUAAUAAUAAUAAUAAUGGUAGUAGUUUUAAUUAAUUGUAUAGAUCUCAUCUUAGAUGCUUCGGAUCUCCUUCCCCCCUUUCUGUUUCGGAUAGGAGAUUAAAUCAGAUACUAAAUAUAUUCCACAAUUUUUAUUCAGCAUAGUGUGUUCACUCAAAUUCACUCUGUAUCUAAUUCCUACUUGACAUUCUAAGCACGUUACAAUAAAAAUGGUUUUUGGCUACGUCAUACGCCAGUCUUGUAAUAAGAUCCUCUCUACGGACAAAACAGGAUUCUAGUUAGGGAUGUCAGUUUUUAUCGAGAUUCUAUCUAGACAGAAGUUUCGUUCUAAAGUGGUAGAUGUCACGUUCUGCAGUUUUGAGUUCACUUGCGAAAGCGAUCCUUGAUUAUUAUUAUUAUUCUUUUUUUUUCUCUCCUGUGUGGGUCGAUGCAGUGAAUAUCGAUAGCUAGUAAUAUCAUACAGGUCCUUUUCUUCUAAAAAUAAAAUAACAAAAAAUAAAAUAUAGUGCUAUAAAAAUAUGAUUUUGGCAGGGAAAUUAGUUUAAGAAUAGAUUUAUAAUUCAAUUUAGGAAUUUCAUCGCUAUCCACUACAUAAAUGUAGGCUUUUAUUCGCUGUUGUGUACGACUUCCUUUUCAACUUCAGAAAAAAACGUGACCUUUUUCACAUUUGACCCAACCUCCUGUCACGAAGGAAUUCGUAAUGGAAGAGAGUAUAAGUUUACACACGCGAAUAGGCUCUCCCUUUCUCUGUUACUAUAGGCAAUAUCUUCUACGCUACGAAUAUAUGUUUGUAGUCUCUGAACUUUUUAUUUUAACCAAUCUUCGAUAAACAAGAAUUUUGUAAGAGAGGUUAAGUGAGGAGAUUAAAUUUUUUCACUCGCAUUUUUUUUUAUUCCCAAAGAUAGUCUCAUAUCAAACAAAAAUGGUAGCAUCUACAGGAAUAAAAAUGUUUAGAUCAGCUUCUCUUACAUGCAAACAAAAUUGUUUUUUAUCUAAUCUUUGAUAAGUAAUAAUUAAAUAAAUUUUAAAAUGAUUAAAAUAUAAUUAUUAUUUUCAUUUUUCUCUUAAAUGUAAUUAUAUACAAGUAAUAUUUCUUAACCCUGUAAAGAAAAGAGUAUGAAUUCAUUAUACAUUGUGUAUACUUCUUGAGGAUCAAGAUACAAGAUUUAAAUUGUUUUAUUUAAGAGGUUUUAAUUCCUUCUACAGGAACUAGAUGCAAUUUAAAUAUUAUAUAAUACGCAGAUAAAUCAUAUAUAUUGCUAUUAAUAGGUAUUAUGUUUUGCAGGAUCAAUCUUUACAUAAAUCAAAAAGUAAAACAAAAGAAAUGAUUUAAAAUAAUUAUUCUACUUUUUGACAUUUUUUUGAACCUGUCCUCUAUCCUAUUUCGAGAUAUUAACGUAAAAAAUGAAUGUACUAAGUUUAAAAAAACAUAUAUAAACAUUAUAGUUCUGUAGGUCAAUAGUUUCUAGAUUUAUGCUGUAGAUUCUAAAUAGUCUUCUGUUAAUCAGCCUAACCAUGAACCUAAUGACAAAGGUUAAGUGAAAGAGUAAUUGCUUCUUGUCUUACAUGAUUCUCUUUUAAUCUCCAGACUAGCUUGAAAAAUAUUCACAUUCCUAAUAAAAAAAAUUGCAGCUUAUACAGACCAAAAAAAAAAAAAAAUCAGGUAUCUAUUUUCACAGAUUAGCAGAUUCUAUAUUUGUAGUCCUGAAAUGUUUUUCUAUUAACCAAUCUCCUAUCAUCACGAACCGAAUAAUAGAGGUUAAGUAGAGAAGGUUAAAGAUUGCAUUUCUUUAUUUUUUUUUUCCUUCUUUUUUUUUAUUCUCUCGAUUUUCGUUCGAUCCCCAAAUUACUAACUGGAGACGUAAUCCGCAUACCAAUGAGAUUCUUCUUGGUUUCGGUGGCUAGGAAAUAAUAAUAAUAAAAAAAAUCUAGGCCGAGGAUGCGUUUAUAAAAUAAUUCCAUUACAACUUGACAGUUUAUAACAUAUUCUAGUCAGUUUUAUGAGGCUGAUAUUUCAAGGAAGGAGUGCUGUUCCCAAAUUCGCUUCAAAUACUCAUCUCUUAUAUCAUCUAUAUGUGUGUCUGCCAAUGACAUACCGGAGCAAUAUCGCCAAUACUUCAAGUAUAGAAUUGCUGCAGUCAAGUACAGACUGUGAUUGGAAAAGUGAUUUGCAUUUCGACAGCAACCAUAUACUCCCCUGAUAAACUGUAAAUCGAAAAAUGUUAUUUUAAAAUUGUUAUCUUCUCUCCGAGCGUGUUCGAUAAGGUGCAGAAAAUUAUUAUUCUUAAAACAAUUUAACAGUUUAUUAAAAUGUGGAGAACAAUACAAUAUAGUAUUAUAGCAGCUAUAGAUUUAGAUAUAUAUAAAUCUUUAUAACAAACAAUUUUUUUGGUUUUUUUUUUUUUUUGGUGGCUUUCCUCCUUCGGUUAACAGCAAUUCACUGAUAGGAUGGGGGAUGGAAAAAAAUGGUGUUCUGGAAUUUAUGUGAUGAAGAAUUCACUUGGUGGAAGAAUUAAAAUAUUUCAGUGCACUGACAAACGACAAUGACGGAUGCGGUAUUCAAUAUUACAGAAGGGAGGAGGUUGAAACGGAAUUCGCAUUUUGCACAACGUUAGUUCGUGUAUGCGGGCGGAGUGGUACACCAGGGGAAAUCUGGAUGGCUAUAAAUAAUUCUGAUUUACUCCAACGUCUACAGAUAUGUGGGGGAUAUACAUGAUUAGGACUCCUAUAUGAAAUAUAUUAAGGUGAUUGUUCUCAAUAAAAAUGGUUUAGAAAAACGUCGAAAGAAUAAAGAAGAAAAGAUGCUUUUAAGUAGAGACAGGUGAUUUUUAAAAGAAGGCAAAGUCAUUGUCCUUAAGAUGCAAACUUUGAUUCGUAUCUAAUAUAAUUAUAUAUGACCUAAUUGUGACGAUCACAUAAACAUUUUCGCACAUGCAUGUGCGGAAACGAGUGAUGCCCCUUGGCUAUGUGUUACUCGUUCUGUCCUACAAGUCGAAGAAAAUAUUUUUCACAGGCCAAUGAAACCUCUGCCCUAUAUAUACUCUCUUUCUAUAUAUGUCAUAUAAUGUAUAUAAAUUAUUAGAACAGCGUAUCUUCGUCUCGAGAUUAAAAAUAAAACAUGACUUUCGGCAGAAAAGUAACCUUAUGGAUCAUCCAACUAACUGUCGACCAUAAUUUCCUAUUGCCUAUAGGCAUCGUACCAAUAAGAGUCAAAAAUUGUUUCUAACCUUUAAGUUUUUAACCUUUUUUAAUAACUUCAGGCAUAUUUUAAGCUAUUUAAUUAUCGUCUCGAAUUUCUAGUUUACUUCUUUUUAUUUCUAAAAGAUGUUUUCGAAAUUAUUAAUACGUUAAAAGUAUAUUUUUAUUAUACCGAUUUUUUAAUGUUUGAUUAAGUUUUAAAUAAGAUAGAUCUGCAAACAGUUCGUUUUUAAGGACGUUAAGAGCGAGGAGAAGAAGCCACUCCUUUCCUAAAUGAUAUAGCCAACACUAAACAUCCUUGGUAAAUAAUCUGGAGUCAUCCUUUUGUUCUGUCGAACAUUUCCUGUAUCGCCAACGACACUUGUGUAUCAGGGUAAUUGUUCAUCCACCGAAAUGAUCACAGGACUAAGGAUCUAUCUGACUGUUAGGUGCUCUCGACUCUACUGCUCUCUAUCGCUGUUCUGGUUCCACUUCCAGGCCUGAUAAGUAGAUGAUUUAUCGGGAGACGGUCAUGAUUCAUCUCUCUCUAAUAAUCGGUAAGAUCCGCCUGGUAAUAUGACGCAACCACCUAACAGUGACUUCUCUGGCGGAGUCCAAAUUAAUAGUGGGGAGUGGAUGUUAUAUCUAGCAGCGGCGCAAUUAGGGAAAAAUCUCCACUAGAGCAUUAGCAACGAAGCCCGACUGGCGUAAAAGAUAUAUUAAAAACUUUAAGCUGUUUAACAGUAUGGGUUGUUCACCUUCAAACCAUUUAUAACACGUUAGAUACAGGAUUACUUUAUGCAGAACACCUUCUAGUCAUUUAAAACGGGCAAAUAUUCAGCAACAACCGAAAACUUUCACCCUAAGAGAAUAAGUCGAACAAGCGAACGAAGAAUAGUUUUUCAAUGUCCGAACCUUUACACCUGCAGCAGCCUAUAUGAACAAGAUUAGGGCGAGGAGCAGAACUGCAGGGAUUAUUAAUAUGCGUCUCUGUAUGCAUGAGUGGCACCCCUGAUUUGCAAGUUAUUACAGUUGUCGAUGUGCUAGAAGCGGGGCGAUGUGGAACUGUGGACGUGGAAAUCUUCUACCCCGACCAACCAAUCACAGCUGACACCUUGUCACGUGGUGUGUGUAUAUGUGUGUGUGUGAAUGUUGAGGUGUUUAUACGAACAUAACCUGUGAUUAAUUAAAAUGUCUGAAGACUGAAAGAUGAACUCGUAUCUGCAGCAAAGUAAAGGCUAACGCAUUUAGGAAGAGUGCGAGUUAUGCUUUACUUUUUUUAUAUAUGAUUUUAAACACCACAAACAACUUGACCGCUAUUUAAAAAAAAAAUCUCGGACUUAUAAAAAUAAACAAGACAUUAAAUAGACUUAAUUUGAUAGCUUAGAUGGUCAUUUUUGAGUUAUCGAUUUACGCUAUCAAUUUAAAACGAUAGAUAGAGUAGAGGUGGGCGUAGACGUUAUCCUCCACCUUAUAGCUGACGUUAAAAUGUUGAUUGUUAUGCGUAUCGCGAACUAGUGACUUUUAAAGUACCAGAUACAAGAGAGAAAGAAUAUAAUAAGACCUCCCAAAGAGAUGUUAAAUGACUCUGACAGUUAAAGGCAUAUAAUUAAUAUCGGACACUUUGUUCAUUUUGACAACAUUUCAGAACGGACGGUAUGAUAAAUUAUUCGGAAUUCAAAAAGUGAAAACGAGAUCUUAAGAGAAAAUAAUAAAAAUGCAUCCACGUACAGACAGAUGAAAUUACAUCGGUUAAAACUAAGAAAUUAUUAACAAAUUUAAAAGUUAUCAACAUCCAAAUCGAUAAAUAUAUCGCUGUCUUCUUUCUUUCUUCUUCCUCUUUCUCGCUCUUAUGCAAAAUGGUGGAGUCCGUGUAGUAGCGGUAUCUGAAGAAGUAACCAAUUCACACCGCCUAGUAGAAUAUGUUGAAAGGUUUUACAGUAAACUCUGAAGUAUACUCGAGUGAAAAUAUUUUUUUUUAAAUUAAAGGUAAGUAUUUUCCAAAAUUUCUUACUCAGUUUUAUAAGGUAAUAAACGUCAACUUAAUUCAUGACAUAAUAAAACUGUCUAGAUAUGAAAAUCCCAAAUGAUAUGUAUCCAGAAUAUCAAACUAACUUUGCGAGUGCUGGUGGAUCUGAUCCAACUACCUCCCUAUGUGCUGCAUUGAAUUUUAACUGUGCAUUAUCAAUGGCAGAUGCAUAGACACCUGGAUGUAAGAAGAUCUGGAAUAGGGGGAAGAGAGAAAGAGAAACCCUGAUUGCAUCUGUUGUUCUGUCAAAAGUGGAUUGCUGUUCCUGUAAGCUUUACAGAUCUAUCUACUUUUCUAUUAUGGUUUAUGUACUUGUUUCACUGACAAUUCAAUUAUCGAUACUUAAGUUCGAAAACCGUAAGUCCGAUGAUUAACGCCAAACAAAUAUUACACUUAAUCCGACUUUUCUGUUAAAUAAUCUAGAUUACGACGCUAAGAAAAUCCAUAUUAAUUUAGCGAUUUUAAUUUUACAAGCAACUAUUUCCAUCCGUUAUUUUAGUUCAUAAAUUAUUCAAAUCUUAACAGUAUAUACAUUCGAGCCGUUUGACCUAGAAUGGCCCGAUUUUAUAAUAAGAUCGAUACAUAUUUUAACAAAAGAGAGAAGCCUACCGAAUGAUCGUGCAGCUUAGACUUUACUGUAGUGUUGGUCCUCCUAAUGAUAGUGAAUUUAUCCUUAAACUCUUGCCUCGGGAUGUGAUAAGAAUCAAAUUACUGUUGCCUCUCUUAUUACAAAUGAAAUAUACAGUAUAUGAUAUGUAAUGGCAAAACAGUGAUUACUAUAUAACUUACUCCGAAAUGCAACAAAAGAGCCUUUGUACACGCUUAUGAACUUAUUGUCUUGAUUAACUAAUAUAUAUAGUUUCUGAAUAAUGCAAUAACAAUGGAUAUACAAGGUAUGUUACGGAAUAUAUCAGAUAUAAAAUUUGAUGGCAAAUAUUGCAGAUUCUGCAUGUAAGCAUAGCAUGUAGCAUCCUCAUAUGAAUUUAUAGUAAUGAUUAUAUGUUAUAGAUUUAAACUAUACAUCAUUUGCAUGGGCAGAUGUGUUUACAGCAAUUAUUAAUAUAAACUCAUGAAGCUAUACAACUAACUACACAUGACCUGGUAUUAUUGAUAAUAUUACAUAGGAUAGCAUAGGAUAGCAUACGAAUCAUCUUAGUAUAAUAACAAAGAAUCUAUGUUAGUUUUUAAUUAUAAUUACGAGGAAAUUAGGCUAAAACAUUCUUUUAUGAGCUGAUAGCAAUAUAAAUAUAUUAUCUUCGAACAGAUUUACAAUCUCUUAGAGUUUGAAUCUGUAUUAAUGGCAUAAAAUAUAAGCCCUAACAUUCGUGCGUAUGUGUGAUGUGCAAAUAUAAUAAUCUGAAUAAUUAUAUUUGCAUAUGUGCAGCAUAUAUAAAUUUUGCCUGCACACCGUUUAUGAGUUUCUAGCGACGAUAAUGAUACCGCAUAGAUCUGUAAUAACGUUUGUAUAAAGUUAUAUAGCAUGAUAUGAAUUAAUGAAUGUAUUUGCAACUUAGAUUAUAAUAUCUGAAUAAAGCUAAGAGCUGAUAUUAAUAAAUGCGAGAUAGUUAUGAAGUAUUCGAAUAAGAGCCAUUAUAAGAUAUCUGUAUAGCAUAUGCAUUGAUUUUAUAACGAUUACUGUAUAGUACAUCUAAUUAUUGCAAACGUGCAUAAGUUUAAAGCUUUAAUUGCAUAAUUUUAUACAAUAUUUAUAAAUACAUUCGUAGUUUUUUAUGAUUGAAAACUUCUAUUUCGACGCUACUCAUCGUGAAUAAAUCUGUCAUAGUCAAGUAAACAUCAACAGAUUCAUUUACAGUGCUGCUAAGGGGAAAAAAUGAAUACGGUUUCUUAAGGUAAUGCAGAAAAAAAAGAUGAGGGAGAAGAAAAAAAAGAAAGUCUUUAGACUUAAGCAAAGUAAACAAGCAAGUACGCCGAGGGACAAUAAAGGAAAACUAAACAGUUGCAGCGUUUAAAAACUUGUCAUCGUAUUUCGCAUUCAUACGCAUAACAAAACAACGUCAAGAGGAUGGAAAAAAUGUCGACUGUUUUUUUACACUUUCUUAUUCUUCGUUCCACUGGGUGACCAAGCUGAAAAAUUGAUUAGGAAAAACACCUUGGUAUAAUAUAAAGCAAUAUAAUAUCUUUAAACUUAUACGAAAAUGUUUGACGAUAACCUUUACUUUGCUUGCUUUGUUUUUUAUUUAUUCAUUCAUUUUCUUUCUUUACUGAAAAACAGGAAUCGAAUUUGUAUCUCUCUAUUUGUCUAGUUAAAAAAAAAAUAAUAAUAAUAAAUAAGACAGAAAAUACAUUUGUUUAGCAAAUUUAAAUGUGUUGUACAAGUAAAAAAAAAAAGUAUAUUAUUUAAUGCGUUACAUAUAUAUAUAUAUAUAUAUAUUUUACAAAUAUUUGAAUAGGAAAAAAAUAAUAAUAAAGGUCCUUAAUAUGUAUUAGAUUCUUUCUUUAAGUUAGAUUUUUGUAUUCUUUCAGUUAACACGUUUCUUUUCCCAACACCAUCAAACGUUUUCAACUUUAUAUUCGCUUCAAACUGAAUUGCCAACUACUCACUUUGAAGUGAAUAUAAAAGUUGAAUAUAAACUUAAAAAGUGAAAUGAUAUAGGUGAAUAUGAAUUUGAAUACGUUGAGAUUAUAGGGGGUGAAUAUAAAUUUAGAACGUUCACACGAUAGAAAUGAAUAUAAACGUAAAAAACGUUGAGGUAAAAGAAACGAAUAUGAAUUAAAAAUGUUGACAAAGAUCAUUUCUUUUUGGUAAUUUAAUAAAGUUUUAAGAGCCGAAGAAAUUCGUGUCUUUAGUAGGAUAUAAAAUAUCCUUCUAAAAACGGGUAUCUUUUAUAAGGUUGAUUUAAUUUGUAACCUUAUAAAAGUUUAGAAGAUACAAGCUAUCUUCAGUCAAUAACCUAACUUGGAUUCUGUAUAAGAGUAGUUCAAUUCAACUUGGCUUUAAUAUAAAUAUAAGGGCUUUUGAAAAUUUAUUUGAACAUCGUUUCUCCUCAUUGCGAACAGGAUUUCAUGUUUGGAUUGAAAUUUUACAAACAGAUUGGAUGUUAUCGUACAAUCAUUUCUACAGAAAUAUAUUUGGUGGGGAAUUCAAUUUUACAGAAUAUGUUUGACAGAGAAUCGAUUUAAUUCUAUGCACUUCAGAGCCGAGUUCAAUUAGGAGGUUAUUGUGUGAACCAAUAUUAACUUUACUUCAUAUAUAUCGGAGUUAUUUCUCUCUCUUAUAUCUCUAUAUAGUAAUAUUUGUCUGGGAUUAGUUCUUCUCUUGGAGGAAAAAUAGAGAUGUAACUUUAAAAAGUUUUAGCUGUGUUGGGUCUGCUUGAGGAUUUUCAAAAGUUCAAUGAAUGGUUAGUAAAAAAAGAGUCUAAAUUAAUAGGUUCGACUGUCGAAAUGAUAACAAAUUUGACUAAAAAUAAGUACUUGGGUUGUAGGUUUUCUAUUGAAUUCUAAGGUAUUCUGUUCGGUUACAAUGGACAGAACUGGGUUUUGGGGGAAGAAAAAAGCAGCACUAUUUGUAGAUGUACGGGAUACUAUCAAAAAGUAAAACCAACAAAUUUCCAUCAGAAAGGUGCUCAGACCACAUGUAGACUUAGAUGAAUGAAAUCACAACUUCCAUUUUUCGCUUGCCCGCUCUGCCGGUGCAUCAUGUGACCCGGGACAAUGUCUGAGGCAGUUUUUCACAGUCCCGUCACUCCCCCCGUACCGGGGGCAGCCUGUGGAAAACUGCACGUGCAAGCAGGACAACACAAAAGAGCAGGGGAUCCUAUAUUGACAGCACAAACGUCUUAUCACAUCUGAGAUUUACGGCUAGAGUGCAUGCGUUCACAGUCCAAGAGUCGGGGCCAGAGGAAAAGGCCACAGAUUGGGUUACAGGCCCGGGUUGCCGAGAACUCGCUUAGGAUCAGGUUGCUGCCAGCCAUCUAUUCAUGAUAAUUUUUUCCCCACACUCCAGACAUGUAGAAAAGAGGUGGGUCGACUGUGAAUGGUCGCCAUGAGAACAAAUACAGCGGGACCUCUAGUAUUGCCACCAUGGGGGAACCCAUAGGUGAAGAGAUCGUGUUUCUCUAGUCCCAGCAUGCUACGCGUCCGGCUCUAACACGUCAUCGAUGAAGUGUCGUCUGUCGAGGGUCCCCUCGCCGCAUGCCAUGUGAUCGAUCGUGGUGGACCGCAGAAGACUUCGGCUAACCACAAUUCCCUUGUCUCAUCGACCGGCUACGAUCAUUCCCUGGACACAUGAGGUAACCGAGACAUAUCAUAGCUACAGGCAUCUGGCGGCAAAGUUUAAAACGAAGCAGCCACUUUUCAUUUAACUCCCACCCAUUGGCAACUUCGUCUUCCUUUGCCGACAGAUUGUUGUAGCAUAUUUCUAAACGCGAUUUUUCCUUAACUUCUACCAUUCUAGCAUCUCUAAACUUAAAAAAACAACACAUAAACAACUUAAUCACCUUACAAAUAUAAAUAAACCUUAUCCUCUAGUCGUAUUCUAGUAAUGUAGCCGGACUGUAAAGAUUGUAUUGUUUAUUUUAAUCGGUAAAUUAAGCCUAAACUACUUAUUUUAACGCAAACAAUUUAAGUAAGUAACAUUAGGAAGAGGAACAAAAAUUCGAAAUGUUGCAAUUUUUCUCAUUAAUUCUUUAAUGCCGCCUCGGAUACGGAUCGUAAAUUAAAUUUGGAUCGCGGAUAAUUGCAAGUGUUGCCAACUCGAUUAGGAUCGUAAUCAAAAGAAUAUCUAAAUGAAAGAAAAAAAUAUAUAUAAGUAAAGAAUCUUAAAAAUUCCAAAUAUUAAACGGAGAAGAAGAGAAAUUUAAACUCUAUAACCAUUUAAAUUUUACAGAAUUUUGUGCGGGGGAGAAAUAGGAAAGAAAAAAUUCAAGUUAAUAGUUAUCCGAGCGAGAACAUUAGGUUAAACUGUACUUGUGUUAAGUGCAAUUAGGAAUUGGCUAAAUGUUUGAAAUUACUCCGUUCUUAAGUUCGAUAUCAUUUUGUAAGCCUUUUGCUUAGUUUAAAGAAGGCAAAUUUGUUUUGUGAAGACGAAAAUAUGUGAGACUAUUUGACCAAGUUUUCAACUUAAAAACUGUAUCCCUUUAUUAAUAAUGGUUCGUUAGAAAGUUAAUUCUCACCACAGGAAUCUUCACAUUUGUGGAUGUUCCAAGAAAAGAAUUUUGUUUGCUCUUCUCUUGCACCAAAUUAGAACGUCAAACUUGUGAGCUGAAGAUUGUAGUGAAACAAAUUACUGAAACCUCGCACAUACAACAGCUAGAAAAGCAGGGCCAUUAGGAACAUACCACCGAAAGGUAAAUAGAAGCAUUCUUGUUUUUGUUCAUUCCCAAACAAUGCACGAAACAACACGCUAUGAAUGGUUUGGAAUUCUAAGAUACAGGGACACUGAUGAACAAAUAAACUUUCUAUUUUUGGUACUUAACAUUUUGACCGGGAUAGAAAAUAGGAAUUCCAUAGAGAAAAAGUCUGUAGAUAAUUAGGAUUAGGAACCAGUUGCUGCCUCGUCUAUACCGACUCCAUAAUACGUACGGUACCACAAGAAUUUUCUAAUUAUUCAUAGUUCUUCUGGUGCUAAAUAUAUCAUCAGCUAUUUCAAAUAUUGGUAUAGUCUACAGAAUUCUCAUUUAACUAAUCACUAAUAUGUUCUUUAAAAAAAUCUGAAUUUUAGAUCAGACUUACUAACUUAAACUGUAUUUUCCGAAUUUCUCAUAGAACAACUUAUCUUAAAAAGUAAUUCUAUGUCAAGCAACUCCGGUUAACAAGCAAAACAGCAAUUACUUCAUUCUUUACGCAUCUUUAUCUUCAUUUAAGGAUACUAAGAAUUCCGAAAUUGUAGUUAAAAUAAUGCUGCAACGUCAACUAACAAAAUCUUCAAACCAAUAACACAUGGUGAGAAGUUAAUAACGAAGAUUAAUUUUUCAGAAAACGGAAGAUUAAACUGCUCUUCUGGCGGAUUAACCCAUGCCCUAAUCGUUUUCAUUCAAAAAACGCGGUGCAUAAUUCUAAAAUGCAUAUUAUUUUUUUUAUGGAAAAGAACUUAAAUUUACGCAUCCUCGAACAAAAAUACCAUUAAAACUUACCAAUUUUAUGUAGAUUUUUUUUUCAAAUUUCUAAUCUUAAAUCUUUAUAGACCAAUAACAAUCUUAAACAUAUCGAAAAUAUACCUUAAAAAUCUAUUGAUUAUUAUUAUAUUCCCUCCACUUAAGAAACAUUUUUGAACGUAUAAAUUACAAAUUUUUAUACUUUCAUCUAAAGGAAAAUCUAAGUUAAUCUAUUUAAAGUAUCUUAAUUCUAAGCUAAAAGGGAUUAACUAAAAACAGUUAAAAACUAUAUCGAUCAACUUAGAACGUUAUCUUCUAACAACUACCAUAUAACUAAGAACUUUUUAAAUUAUAAACUAAUUUAUUUUUACAGAAUUUUAUGCCAUAAUCUUCAUUUAAAUAACCACUUCAAUACUUAUAAUCUAUACUCUUAUCUUCGUCUGUUAACGAUAUACAUUACAAGAACACAAAACAGCGAUUAAUUUACCAUCCUAUAUGCCAAAAACUUCUUAUCGUCAUCCGGCAACACAGCUUAGAAUUUCAAACCACAGAUCAUCUUUACAUUUUUAUAAAUUUAUAUAACUACCAAUUUGACGGUAAUGUAUCUUUGACAACUUUCGUCCGCUUCGAUAAGGAAAUUGGUGAAUUAAAAUUCAGUACAUUCUCGAAAAAAAAAAGGAAAAAAAAAAUCUUUUUUUCUCUCCUCUUCAAUCAAUUUAUUU